CCCUUAGAUGUUCUGGGCCGCACGCGCGCUACACUGAUGCAUUCAACGAGCCUAUCCUUGACCGACAGGUCCGGGUAAUCUUUGAAUCUGCAUCGUGACGGGGAUAGAUUAUUGCAAUUAUUAAUCUUCAACGAGGAAUGCCUAGUAGGCGCAAGUCAUCAGCUUGCGUCGAUUACGUCCCUGCCCUUUGUACACACCGCCCGUCGCUCCUACCGAUUGGGUGUGCUGGUGAAAUGGUCGGAUCGGCCGUUUGUCGCGGUUUCCGCGUCAUGUGGCUGAGAAGUUCAUUAAACCCUCCCACCUAGAGGAAGGAGAAGUCGUAACA
RNAcentral lists this ribosomal RNA (325 nucleotides) under uncultured eukaryote. RNAcentral describes it as "partial 18S ribosomal RNA". It matches the Rfam family "Eukaryotic small subunit ribosomal RNA", at positions 1470 to 1796 of the family's 1831-position model. The record is from RNAcentral.